Molecule: non-coding RNA, 1376 nt
Organism: Erythranthe guttata (spotted monkey flower)
Lineage: Eukaryota; Viridiplantae; Streptophyta; Magnoliopsida; Lamiales; Phrymaceae
Source: RefSeq, a predicted model, not a curated record
CCUCCUCCUCCUCCAUUUUCUCUCACUUAAUUAAUCCCUACACAACACAGGGAUUAUUAAAUAAUAAUUCGAAGAAGGGGAAAUUGGAAGAGAUAUUGCAUUAUUGGAAGUGGGCAUCUCAGAUUUCUGGGCAUAAAAAUAUCAGACAUUCAAAGUGGGGAAUCUGAUUUUCCUUCAAAUGCUUAAAUUUCUAUAAGUGGGCUAUUGAGAUUGGAAUUCUAUAAGAUUUUUUUUUUUUUUGGGGGAGAAGGAAAAAAAAAAAAUUCGAAUCAUUUAUUUUUCUUCUUCCCUAAAAAAUGGCAGCAGCGAUUGAAAUAGAAAGCGUGGAGUGUGUAUCUAUUAUGUCAGAUGGAAUCGAAGAAGAAGAAGAAGAGAUCCAUUCAUCUCAUCACUAUUCUUCUAAACCUCUUAUUAAUAAUAAUAAUAACAAAGUAGCAUCUGGAAUUGCCCCCACAAGCGUCCAUGAAUUACUGGAAUGCCCUGUUUGCACUAAUUCUAUGUACCCUCCUAUCCAUCAGUGUCACAACGGGGAAUACACUGUGUUCGACAUGCAAGACAAAGGGUGCAUAUAGAUGCCCCACUUGCAGAAAAGAGCUUGGAGAUAUCAGGUGUUUAGCCCUAGAGAAGGUUGCCGAGUCGUUAGACCUGCCCUGCAAGUACUACUCUUUGGGCUGCCCCGAUAUAUUCCCUUAUUACAGCAAACUCAAACACGAAGCCGUCUGCGAUUUCAGACCGUACAGCUGUCCCUACGCUGGAUCAGAAUGUGUAGUCACCGGGGAUAUUCCUUUUCUCGUUUCCCACUUGAGAGACGACCACAAAGUCGACAUGCACAGUGGCUGCACCUUCAAUCACCGCUAUGUUAAGUCGAAUCCACGUGAAGUUGAAAACGCAACUUGGAUGUUAACCGUAUUCCAUUGUUUUGGGCAAUAUUUCUGUCUACACUUUGAAGCAUUUCAGCUAGGAGCAGCCCCAGUAUACAUGGCGUUUCUUCGAUUUAUGGGGGAUGAAAGUGAAGCAAGAAACUACAGCUACAGUUUAGAGGUAGGAGCAAAUGGGAGAAAACUUAUAUGGGAAGGUACCCCACGGAGCGUUAGAGAUAGCCACCGGAAAGUGAGAGAUAGCCAUGAUGGUCUUAUUAUCCAAAGAAACAUGGCCCUUUUCUUCUCUGGCGGUGAUCGGAAAGAGCUCAAGCUACGAGUCACCGGAAGAAUCUGGAAAGAACAACAGAAUCCAGAUACCGGUGUCUGCAUACCAAAUCUUUGUAGUUAACACAAGUUCAUUUUUUUCGACAUUUUUUUUUUCAACUUCUUCGAUUUGUGCGUGUUUGUGUAUGUAAUCGAAAUUCUGCAUUUUUACCAUAUCAAAUGCUUUUUCUU